This 2688-nucleotide long non-coding RNA is filed under the name Homo sapiens (human). Its description in RNAcentral is "HSALNT0020280". Lineage: Eukaryota; Metazoa; Chordata; Mammalia; Primates; Hominidae. The record is from RNAcentral.
GCUUUCCUAUCCAGGACCCUGCUGCCUCUGACCGCACCCCAAGCCUUCUCUGCUGCUCACAUGGGCUCCUCUCUCCUUUGUGCUUUUUGCCUUCUGUCCCCACUGCCUGGAAAACGUUCCCCUCACAUUUUGCAUGGCUGCUGCCUUCUCAUCACAGAGGUCUCAGGUCAACCAUCACUACCCCCAGGAGGCCUUCCUUGACUGCCCUAUCUCCUGUCACUGGCCUCCACUACCAGUCACUGCCAUGUUCACUUCCUUUUGUUGUCAUCUAGCACCUGUCCCUGUCUGAAUUGUAUCAUUUAUCUGUUAUUAUUUGUUUAUUCUGUUCCUGCCUGUCUCCCUGAGGCCAGGGACCUUGUCUGUCUUUAUUACUAUGCUGACCCUGGUGCUCAGCACUUAAUAAAGAAUCAUUAAAACAAAAUGAAUGAAGGACACUAAAGGCUGUCAUAGAAGUUACUUGGACAACACCACCCACCCCUGGGGGGUGGGGUGGUGGGAACUUGCUUGGUGAUGGCAACAAACAAACAAACACUUUCCCCUUCCCACUUCUCUUCCGGUAUUCCAGACAGGAGGAAUAAUGUACUGAUCUGCUGACAUUAAGAAGGACCCUAUUUUCAGAUUACUUCUUCAAAGGAGCAGCAUCUACAUUGGCAAGAUUUUUGAAAAAAUUGGAUUCCUCGGCCAGGAGUGGUGGCUCACACCUGUAAUUCCAACACUUCGGGAGGCCGAGGCGGGCAGAUCACCCGAGGUCAGGAGUUCGAGACCAGCCUGACCAACAUGGAGAAACCCUGUCUCUACUUAAAGUACAAAAUUAGCCAGGUGUGGUGGCGCAUGCCUGUAAUCCCAGCUACUCAGGAGGCUGAGGCAGGAGAAUUGCUUGAAUCCGGGAGGCAGAGGUUGUGGUGAGCCAAGAUCACGCCAUUGCACUCCCCCCUGGGCAACAAGAGUGAAACUCCAUCUCAAAAAAAAAAAAAAAAGAAAAAAGAAAAUUGGAUUCCUCAAUCCAGGAUCUCUUGCAUUUGGAGAACUUUAGGCUUUCAGCUGUUGCAUGCCUAGGCCUUGUCAUAAUCCAAUAAAGCAGGAUAUGGAACGGGAUAUUGGAUAUGGAAGGGGAUAGGAUUGGUGGAUGAAACAGAGAAAGGGAGAGAGAGACAGAAAACACACACACACACACACACUCUGAGAGAGAGAGAGACACACACAGAGAGAGAGAUUCCGCUGUAACAAACUCUUGGAAGACAGAAAGAGGAGGCAAAGGAGAGGAAGGGCCAGUGACAGCUCUGCUGCUCUGAAAGUCAAGGGGCCCUUGGCUCACUGCCUUCCCCGUCCUUCCCUGGGGCCAGGUGCGCUGGAAUCCUAGAUUCCCUGGGAGUGAGGGUAGGUACCAUGACGGCAUGAAGUCACCUCCCACCACCUUCAAGACUUCCCACUGCCAGUCUGUAGCCUGUGUGUUGAGUCCUGGUCCAACCCUGAGUCACCCGUGUGAACUGGGGUCAGUGAUUGGUCUCUAGUUCUCCAUCUCUCCAUCUGAAGAAUGUGAAUAAUAAUUUCUGACUUGGCUGUUUACAGGACCGCCGUGAGGAUCCAAGUGCACAGUGAGGUGGGGGGAGGCAGAUACAUGGAUUCCUUUCCACGUGGCCCACAAGAAACACCUGUCCCUCCAGACUCGGGGACCACCAGGGACCUUGAAUAGUUGCCUUGGCAACUCAUUGCCUGGCUAACUCCCACUCCUUUGGGUUUCAGCUUAAACAUCAGUUGUGCAAGAUCUUCUGGACCCCUAAGUUGGGUCCUCCUCUUCUCUCUGAGGAAAAGGAAUAUGUUUCUGUUGCGUACCAUCUUAUCACCACGUAGCAGUGGGUGCUCCAUAAGAUCCUCCUGCGUGAGUAAGUGAAUUCCCUGCCUCAUCCCUCUCUCAUGCCUUAGCAUGAGGCCUGAGGCCAAGAGCCCGUCCAUCACAUACCCCUUGCCCAAAGCCUCCUUAUAACGGUCAGGAGAAGGGUGGCAUCUCCUCCUCUCCCUUCUAACUCAAGGAACAAAUCACUGGCUACAUGAUAGUUGCCCUUCCUCCCAUCCUUCCAGCAUAGUAGCCCCUGCCCAGGAUCCAAAAGGCAGAAGGUGAGUAAUUGCUAUUUUUAUUUAUCUUUGCACAAGGCUGCCCUCUGGUGGUCGAACAUGUAGGAGCGAAUGGGAAGGAUGGAAACCCCAGUAGCCAGGAACCAGCCCAGCUGGCUGAGCCAACCACGCUCAAGAGACUGGCCAGCGAGCCAGGGAGUAGGUUGGAGCUGUCUCCACACCUUGCUCCAUCCCUCUCAAGAUGAGGGGAUUCUAACCAGCUCUCCACCUGCACUAGGCCCAAACCAGAGGAAAUAACAUAAACCAGGACUCCUUGGAAAAGCCCUCGGAUGCCUCAGUGCCCCUCCCUGGAGUUUUGUCCUGUGCAGUGGCCGUCCAUCUUGCAUCCUUUAGAAGAAGCCUCUUGAAAGCGAGAACCAACAGGCCCAGGAAUCCCUGGAUCCACCUCACCUCCACUUCUUUCUACUGGGCUCUGCUCAUUGCUCAAUCAGUGAAGGUUUGUUGACCACCUACAACAGCCAACUGCAUGCAGUUCUGCUCUCCACCAUCAGUUCUGGAAAAGCUGCUGCUUCACGGAAGAGAAAGGCAAUUGCUUUGCCCAACCCAACAUUCACU